AUUGGGCAAUGCCCGCAAGGGUGACCCAGCAACGCCGCGUGGAGGAUGAAUGUCGUAAGAUUGUAAACUCCUGUUAGAGGGGAAGAAUAGUACCGGUUGGACCGGUAUAUGACUGUACCCUCAGAUAACGCCCCGGCUAACUACGUGCCAGCAGCCGCGGUAAUACGUAGGGGGCAAGCGUUGUCCGGAUUUACUUGGUGUAAAGGGCGCGCAGGCGGGAUCAAAAGUCAGUGGUGAAAUCCUACAGCUUAACUGUAGAACUGCCUUUGAUACUGUUAUUCUUGAGUUCGGGAGAUAGGGACGGAAUUGCAGGUUUAGUGGUGAAAUACGUAGAUAUCUGGAAGAACACCAGUUGCGAAGGCGG
This 364-nucleotide ribosomal RNA is filed under the name uncultured bacterium. Its description in RNAcentral is "bacterial SSU rRNA". It matches the Rfam family "Bacterial small subunit ribosomal RNA", at positions 363 to 724 of the family's 1533-position model. The record is from RNAcentral.